RNAcentral lists this ribosomal RNA (111 nucleotides) under Flammeovirga kamogawensis. The record is from RNAcentral. Lineage: Bacteria; Pseudomonadati; Bacteroidota; Cytophagia; Cytophagales; Flammeovirgaceae.
GAUGGUGUCAAUGACGUGGGUGUUCACCUCUUUCCAUUCCGAACAGAGCAGUUAAGCCCCACAGUGCUGAUGGUACUGGGUUAACCCCGGGAGAGUAGGUCGACGCCACAU